CAAAUCCUUACAUUCACUACAUAGUGAACAUCGGCUACUACGCUUUAGUUUUCGUCUUCACGACAGGAGUCUUCAUCAUGAUCGUCACUAAGGUCAUUCAGGCCAGAAACAUAAGACCGACUGACGACAAGAGAAAGACGUUCAGAAAGCAGCUGAUGAUGGUGUUGAGUUUGUUCCUGCUCUUCGGUCUGACGUGGUCUGUGGCGUUCUUCAGUUAUGGACCGAUGCUCAUUCCCUCAUAUUACAUAUUCACUGUGCUGAACUCAUUACAGGGGUUUUUCCUCUUCCUGUAUUACUACCACAUUCACAAUGACGUUGAGGGUAAUUUCUCAGAUGAUCCAGAAAGCACCGACUCCACUGUUUAAUCAAGCAUUAAUGCUGUAGAAAACAUUUCUAACUAGCAUAAUUAAGACAGAAGACUUCCUUUGUCUCAGACUUUCUUACACUGAUUUCUUAAACUGAUCUGUACAGUUAUUGUUUGAGGGGAAACUGUGUAUUCUCACCUAAAUCAAGCUCAGAGACACAAGUCACUUAACCAGAAGGAAUUGUUAAAAAUGAUGCAUGCACAUAAAAUUAUGACCUUAAAAAAGGGAAUGAAACAUAUGACUGAAAAAUCAUUACUGAAACUAUAAUUGUAGAAGGACUGAAUAUUAAAUGACCUGAUGUUCCAUUUAUUGAGCAUUACAAUCAUCAUUCUGUCCACUAAGUGUGAUUAUGUGCGUGCAAGAGCAACUCAAACAACACUGACCCUCUUUUACUAAACAAAUUCACAUCUUCAGAAUGAAAGUAAUGUCCACACGCCUUUGCAUUCAUAUAUUUGCAUGGUCAUUUGAUAAAGCAGCUUAAUCAAAUCCACACACAUGGAUAUUGUACAUAUUGGGUAUAUAAAAACACAAAAACACUGUCAGAAUCAGCUUAUGUUUCCUGCAUUAUUUACAGUUUUUUUUUAUUGCUAUCAAGCGUUUACCAAUACUUAAAGUACUUUUUCUAAACUCUUAACACAGCCAAAUAGUAAUUUUCUGGCCAAAACCACAUUUUGUUAAAUAAAUACAAACUCCACGUUUCAAAAUGCUUAAUACCUUUUUCUACAUUUACUAACUCUAUCAAAACACAGCAAACCUGAUUCAAAAUCGAGUCAUUCGGUCAAAACAUUGGCACAGGUUUUCUUUCCAAUCGGAACAUAUAGUCGAUCAUAGUGCAUAGACCGUCAAAAUCAUAACAAUUAAUGGCAUUACAAAAACUGCAUUAUACUUGUCAUAUCUGUAUAGAACAUACAAUAUGAGAUCCAUUUAAAAAAAUUAAAAAAAUAAUAAUUCAGUCAGCUGAACUCUAAAUUUUUUUUGUGUGUGUAAAUGUGUAACAUUUCAUUUUAGAUCGUAUGUGCACAGCAUAGUGAAGGAGUCAUCAGUAGUUUAUGGAAUGUAAAAGAAAUUAAAAAAUAAUAAUUCAGUCAGCUGAACUCAAAAUUUUUUUUGUGUGUGUAAAUGUGUAACAUUUCAUUUUAGAUCGUAUGUGCACAGCAUAGUGAAGGAGUCAUCAGUAGUUUAUGGAAUGUAAAAGAAAAGUGACAGAAUUGCUGCGGUAAAGGCUUUUUUGGCAAAAUGAAAUUUCUGUGUGUGAAAAAAAUUUAAUAAAAACAUACAGCACUUUGCACCCUACCUCUCCUUCUCCCUUGUCAGAAAGUCAGAAAGAGCUUUAUUACCAAGUAUGUUUACACACACACAAGGAAUUUGACUUGACGACAGGAGCAUCCAGUGCAGAGGAAAGUAUUGACAGUGCAAACAUACAUGACAGUGCAGACAUGCACAGGAAUUAUAACAGUAAUAUAAGAAAAACAGAAAAUGAUGGUCUGUAAUGCUGACCAGAGGCCACAGUACGAAGAGAGAAUGGGCUGGGUGUGUGGGGUCCAAAGCCAUUUUCAUUACUCUGGAGGUGUACAGAUCUUAGAGGUUCGGCC
Molecule: long non-coding RNA, 1957 nt
Organism: Sinocyclocheilus grahami
Lineage: Eukaryota; Metazoa; Chordata; Actinopteri; Cypriniformes; Cyprinidae
Source: Ensembl